GACGAACGCUGGCGGCGUGCUUAACACAUGCAAGUCGAACGGAAAGGCCCCUUUGGGGGUCCUCGAGUGGCGAACGGGUGAGUAACACGUGAGUAACCUGCCCUUGACUUCGGGAUAACUUCAGGAAACUGGGGCUAAUACCGGAUAGGAAUCCUUGCUGCAUGGUUGGGGUUGGAAAGCUUCGGCGGUUUUGGAUGGACUCGCGGGUUAUCAGCUUGUUGGUGGGGUAGUGGCUUACCAAGGCGUUGACGGGUAGCCGGCCUGAGAGGGCGACCGGCCACAUUGGGACUGAGAUACGGCCCAGACUCCUACGGGAGGCAGCAGUGGGGAAUAUUGCCCAAUGGGCGGAAGCCUGAUGCAGCAAAGCCGCGUGCGUGAUGACGGCCCUCGGGUUGUAAACCGCUUUCAGCAGGGGCGAAGCUUGUGGUGACGGUACCUGAAGAAGAAGCACCGGCUAACUACGUG
This 465-nucleotide ribosomal RNA is filed under the name uncultured bacterium. RNAcentral describes it as "partial 16S ribosomal RNA". It matches the Rfam family "Bacterial small subunit ribosomal RNA", at positions 28 to 507 of the family's 1533-position model. The record is from RNAcentral.